RNAcentral lists this long non-coding RNA (1611 nucleotides) under Homo sapiens (human). Its description in RNAcentral is "HSALNT0119914". The record is from RNAcentral. Lineage: Eukaryota; Metazoa; Chordata; Mammalia; Primates; Hominidae.
CUCAUCUGUAAAACUUUCUGCAUUUCACCAUGGAAGUGGCAACCCACUUCUCCAGGACCCUUCUCUCUGCAGGAGAUAACUUUUCUCUUUCUUUCACUUAUUAAACCUCCACUCUUAACUUUACUCUUCGUGUGUCCACAUCCUUGAUUUCCUUGGCAUGAGUCAACAAACCUUGGGUAUUACCCCAGACAAAUGAUGCCACUUUAGUUUCCACUUUUCCAGACACAUUAAUGUAGGUGCAACAGGUUUUGCUGACGACAGCACAGACUCCUCCUUGUUCAGCUAGGAGGUAUUCCGGGGCUCAUCUAUUAUCAAAAGCCAUUCCCGCUAGUGAGUCCAAAGACUUUUCCAGCACCGAUAGACUUGCACCAGUUUUUGCUAAGGCUGUUUCAAGGGAGGAGGAAGAAGCAAAGAAGUCUAAGUUCUUUGGAGUAAGAUGCUCUCAAAUGCCUAGGAACACUGAUCUCCUAACUUGUCUUCCUGCUUUGAGUGUCCCUCUGAGGUUAAAGUUCCUGCCUCAGUCUCCAACAAUGACUAUAAGCCUCUCUGGGCAAGAUCCACGUCUUACUCAUUUUUGUGUCUGCAGUUUAGUUCCUGGUUCAUUGUAGGUUCUCAAUAAACGUUUGUUAGAAUGAGUUGAUCUCUUGGAUCCAGUGCCCCAGAAAGAUAUGUCAUUUCCACUGCUGCCCACUGAGGAGUGCCACUGGAGAUGAUCUCACAACAAAGAGAGGGGGAGAGGCUGCUCCUCCCGUCAGAAGAUGGAGACUGCUUCCUUGCCCUUCAAUCCAAGCUGGCUCAUGACUUGCUUCAAUGAAUAGGAAAUGGCAGAAGUGAUGCUCUGAGGCUUCUGGGCCUAGACUUUAAGAGGUGUUGCCCCUUUCCUUUUUCCCUCUUGGGAUCCAGCCUACCACAUAGAGAAGUUUGGGUUGACAACUAAAUGUGAGAGAGAGACAGACAGAGAGAAGAGGGAGAGCUGAUUCAGCUAGACCUUAGUCAUUCCAGCCAUCCUAGCUGAAGCACUAGCAUGUGAAAGAAGCCACCUUCUAACCUAUCAAUCAGAGCCCCCAAUUUUACUGACCUCAGUCAACACCAUGUGGAACAGAACUACCCCAGGGAGCCCAACCAACCCAUACAAUCAUGAGAAAUUAAAAACUGAUGUUGUAGCCUCCUGAGUUUUAAGGUAGUUUGUUACACAAAAAUACUGGAAUUUUGACCCACCUUCACCUCCAAUGCCAACCUAGUAAACCUGGAUAUAUCUUUCAAAAUUUGGCUCAAGUGUCAACUCUUUCAUGAACCCUCUGUAUCCUUUUCUUGCUCAUUCAAGCCCUAUUUUCUCUUCUCCUCCCCAAAAUUCCAUAGUACUUUGUAUUACAAACUAUGUGCUUACAACCCCCAAAGUCUCUGGGCAUCCAGAAGGCAGAGAUUUGGCUUAAUUCAUUUUUGCCUCUGCCUAGCCUAACACCCGGCACAUUUAGAUAUUUAGUUAUUGUUUGCUGAAUGAAUGGAUGCAUGAAGAAGAAAAUUUAACAGAUGAUAUCUACAGGCACAUCUGGCUCCAAAAUUGAAUCAUGUCAUCUAGCAAUGCUCAGUAAAGUUAACAUAAGCAAUUUC